This 549-nucleotide long non-coding RNA is filed under the name Rattus norvegicus (Norway rat). Its description in RNAcentral is "long non-coding RNA NONRATT026735". Lineage: Eukaryota; Metazoa; Chordata; Mammalia; Rodentia; Muridae. The record is from RNAcentral.
GAUGAAUAUGCUAAUGAAGCUCCAAGAAGCAGCCAAUUACCCGGGCACACAGAGCUGUGACAGUGACAGCGUCAGCCACCAUGAAGACAUUUUGGAUACAUCUAUUGAAUCCACCCUCUAAAGGGUGAAAGAGUUAGGCAAAGGACUAUGCUUUUCAAAAGGUGUUUAAAAGACAGGUAUUGUCACUAAACCACUGCCAGUAUGAAAGUGCCCUGUCCAGGGCCCUGACCCAGAGUUGUGGUCUCCAAGGAGGCAGCAGAAUUAGGUUGGAACUGCCAAGAUGCGAAAAUGAAAUGGGAGCUUAAGUUUAUUUUAUUGCUAGGCAGUUUUAUAGCCAUGGAGGUUAGCAAGGGCUCCAUUACUCAAUUGGGAAGGGCCCUAAAGAUGAGGCAACCAAGUAGAUUACACACGGGAUAGUGAGACUGGACUUUAUUUUCUUCCUCUUUCAAAGUUUACAGUGCAGGCCUAUUUUUUUCUUUUUCUUUUCUGUCUUUUUUUUUUUUUUUGUGCCUUUCUUUUGUUUCCUCGGGGCGGAGGCUGCCCUUCUCA